GGAUCGAUGAUGACUCCCUCACAUGCAUUCCUUGGAAAAUCUGAACAAAAUGAGUGAGAACUCACUACCGUACCGUCGUUCUCAUCGAAACUGAGGUCC
Molecule: small nucleolar RNA, 99 nt
Filed under: Equus asinus (donkey)
Lineage: Eukaryota; Metazoa; Chordata; Mammalia; Perissodactyla; Equidae
Description: Small nucleolar RNA SNORD116 (ENSEASG00005037887.1)
Rfam family: Small nucleolar RNA SNORD116
About the family: HBII-85 is a member of the C/D class of snoRNAs, which contain the C (UGAUGA) and D (CUGA) box motifs. HBII-85 is encoded in a tandemly repeated array with another C/D snoRNA, HBII-52, in the Prader-Willi syndrome (PWS) region of chromosome 15.
Source: Rfam by way of RNAcentral